UUGAAUUGUCGGCCCCGCUAAAGUUCCAAUCAUAAAAUGCUGAUUUAAUUUUAUCAUCUCUCAUUUUAUUUUUUCAUUAAAUUGACGAGUCACAAACGACUGCCGGAAAACCCAUUCCAUUCUGCCGGCCGAAGUUCUGCUGUUCCCAUUCGCCGGCGGUCGGAGCUCAGAAGUUCUGCUGCUCCGACUGUUUGCGCCUCUCUUGCUUGUAUUCUGAAGAUCUGCUGUUCACGCCAUUCCUUCGGAACUCACGCCGAUUGCGCCCCCAGCUCACGGUGCUGAAUUCAUUCGGUCCCGAUGGAUGAUUCAGCUCCCGCUUACCCCGCGAUUCCCAUCGAUCUGUUCGGGUCCAAGAAGCAUCGCGGCCUUGCGCACGGUGAGCUGGGUUUCGCGGAUUCCAGCGGCAACAUUGUUUUCAGGGUAAAGCGUCAAUCUUCAAGAUCAUCAUCAGAAUCCCAUCAUCGCGAGAGGAUGCUGCUUGAUACUGCAGGAAAUCCUCUUUUCUCCAUCUGCCGGGACAGUGAAAAGUCAUGGAAAGUGUUCAAAGUGGAUGACGGCCAAGAGAAGCAGAUAAUAUUGACUGCCCAGAGGACUCGACGUACCUUGACGAGAACCGAGUUAGAUGUAUUUUGCUCCGAUGAAAACUUGGGUGAUUCAAGCCCAUCUCUUAAGAUGAAGGGCUUUCCUUUCCAGAGAUCGUGCACUAUUUGCCGAGGUGACUCCAUUGUGGCACAGACAAGUCUAAUGCAUAAGCUUCAUCAGAUUUACGUCAGGAGGUCUAAAUUUAGGGUGACAAUCUAUCCUGGCUCUGCUGAUCAUGCGUUAAUUGUGGCUAUGGUGGUCAUAUUUCUGGAUGGAUGAGAAAAGGAGCUGGAUCAUCAUAAAAUCUUAAGCACAAUGACCAUGCAAAGGUAUCUGAAGGAACAUCUGGCAUCGCGAACAAGUUUACACUACGCAAUUUACUGGAGAGGAAACGGGAGAGAGGGAGAGGGGGGGUGGGCGGAAGCAUGUGAAGUAAACAAAUGAUAUCCCGAACAAGCUGUGGCCAGCGGAUAUUUAGAAAAGGAUUCAUAUCAGAGAAUAGAAGGAGGAUACAACAAUCACUUUACACACAUCACAGAGAACUCGAUUCUGGGUUUGCGGAGGAACCCAACGAAGGUGGACAGCUGAGAAUCAAAGCAAGGAUUGGAAGAAAAAGAUUGGCCAGGUAACAGAGGAAAUAAGAACGGAGGAAGGAAGCAAGGCAAUCAGUUCUAUCUAGCUCUUGCAAUUUGCAGACCCGCAACUUGUUCGUAUUAGUGCUGGAAAGCUUUCUAUGUAGUUUUUGCUUGAAUCUGUUACUAUUAUCCAGCUUAGGCCGGUAUUGAUAUAUUAUCACGCAUCAAAUACAAGACUUUUUUGUUGGAGUUCAAGCAGUUUUAUAGAACAUUGGGAGGCUUCUUAUCAUAAAAAAUGAUCCGCCGAAGUGUUAGAAUCA
This is a non-coding RNA of Punica granatum (pomegranate), 1477 nucleotides long. The record is from RefSeq and is a predicted model, not a curated record. NCBI's taxonomy places the organism in Eukaryota, Viridiplantae, Streptophyta, Magnoliopsida, Myrtales, Lythraceae.